UCAAAAUGCAUAUCUCUAGUGUUCUGUAUGUGCGUCACAUACUGGCUUCAAGGUUGCCAUCUUUCUGUUUUCCCUACUGGCUGCUACUUUGCUCUCCAUGAACUACAGGAGAGUGUGUUUGCCUGCAAAGCACAUCCAGCUCUGAUUCGGAUACAGCUGAUGGAGUUGUGGAGGCUACCUGUCUUCUGCUGCUCUGCUGCUGAUCCAUCAUCUCAGUUGCCAUAGAGACAAGAUCUGGAAGCCAUGGAUGAGCAUGGGAGAGAAGCCACCCACAGGCUCUCCGCUGGUGGGCUCUGGCAGGGCCUUUCUCAGCAGGUACUGAGAGAGUCAGGGGCGGUCUCUGAGGGUGAGGAGGAGUCAGCAGGUGCUGACCCAGUGGCGCACGAGGGGGACUUGCCAACACAUUACAUUGCCAUCCAAAGAAAUUCCAAGUACUACCGAUCCAUGAGGCUGCCGAACAGAGGGAAAAGAAAGACUUCGAGAGAGGCAGUGCACAUGGGGCAUGUCACAGGUUCACUCAAAAACAAUGAGCCUGUCAAAGAGCCUCUGAAUGUUUUAUCUCAUAAGGGAUCACCAUCUCCAGCAAACUCUGAUAAGACAACGUUAGACGAACUAUGGAUCCAAAGGCUGCUGCCUUCCUACCCCCGUUACCGUGGCAACCGCCCGGGCUCCCCCAGCCCCGCAACGCCGCCGCCGCCGCCG
RNAcentral lists this long non-coding RNA (702 nucleotides) under Lepidothrix coronata (blue-crowned manakin). RNAcentral's name for it is "lncRNA (ENSLCOG00000008694.1)". The record is from RNAcentral. Lineage: Eukaryota; Metazoa; Chordata; Aves; Passeriformes; Pipridae.